GUUGUAUAGUUAAGUGACUAAGCGUACAAGGUGGAUGCCUUGGCAAUCAGAGGCGAAGAAGGACGUGCUAAUCUGCGAAAAGCUUGGAUGAGUCGAUAAGAGGCGUUUAAUCCAAGAUAUCCGAAUGGGGAAACCCAGUAGAUGAAGAAUCUACUAUCAACAAGUGAAUUCAUAGCUUGUUGAGGCAAACCGGGAGAACUGAAACAUCUAAGUACCCCGAGGAAAAGAAAUCAACCGAGAUUUCGUCAGUAGCGGCGAGCGAAAGCGAAAGAGCCAGUAAGUGAUAACAGUAUGGUUAGGAGAAUGUGUUGGGAAGCACAAUCAAAGAGGGUGAUAAUCCCGUAUCUAAAAACCAUAUUGUGGUACUAAGCUAACGAGAAGUAGGGCGGGACACGUGAUAUCCUGUUUGAAGAAGGGGGGACCAUCCUCCAAGGCUAAAUACUCCUGAUUGACCGAUAGUGAACCAGUACUGUGAAGGAAAGGCGAAAAGAACCCCGGUGAGGGGAGUGAAAUAGAACCUGAAACCUUGUACGUACAAGCAGUGGGAGCCUGAAAGGGUGACUGCGUACCUUUUGUAUAAUGGGUCAGCGACUUAUAUUUUGUAGCGAGGUUAACCGAAUAGGGGAGCCGAAGGGAAACCGAGUCUUAACUGGGCGAAGAGUUGCAAGGUAUAGACCCGAAACCCGGUGAUCUAGCCAUGGGCAGGUUGAAGGUUGGGUAACACUAACUGGAGGACCGAACCGACUAAUGUUGAAAAAUUAGCGGAUGACUUGUGGCUGGGGGUGAAAGGCCAAUCAAACCGGGAGAUAGCUGGUUCUCCCCGAAAUCUAUUUAGGUAGAGCCUUGAGGUGACACCUUUGGGGGUAGAGCACUGUUUCGGCUAGGGGUCCAUCCCGGAUUACCAACCCGAUGCAAACUACGAAUACCAAAGAGUGAUACUCAGGAGACACACGGCGGGUGCUAACGUCCGUCGUGGAGAGGGAAACAACCCAGACCGCCAGCUAAGGUCCCCAAGUCUAUAUUAAGUGGGAAACGAAGUGGGAAGGCUUAGACAGCUAGGAUGUUGGCUUAGAAGCAGCCAUCAUUUAAAGAAAGCGUAAUAGCUCACUAGUCGAGUCGGCCUGCGCGGAAGAUGUAACGGGGCUGAAAUAUAGCACCGAAGCUGCGGCAUCAGGCGUAAGUCUGUUGGGUAGGGGAGCGUUCUGUAAGCGGAUGAAGGUGAAUCGAGAGGUUAGCUGGACGUAUCAGAAGUGCGAAUGCUGACAUAAGUAACGAUAAAACGGGUGAAAAACCCGUUCGCCGGAAGACCAAGGGUUCCUGUCCAACGUUAAUCGGGGCAGGGUGAGUCGGCCCCUAAGGCGAGGCUGAAAAGCGUAGUCGAUGGGAAACAGGUUAAUAUUCCUGUACUUGGUAAAGCUGCGAUGUGGGGACGGAGUAGGUUAGGUUAUCGCACUGUUGGAUAUGUGCGUUUAAGUUGGUAGGUGGGAAGUUUAGGCAAAUCCGGACUUCUAUUAAACACUGAGAGAUGAUGACGAGGCUCUAAGGAGCUGAAGUAACUGAUACCACACUUCCAGGAAAAGCCACUAAGCGACAGGCUUUACUAAACCGUACUGAAAACCGACACAGGUGGUCAGGUAGAGAAUACUCAGGCGCUUGAGAGAACUCGGGUGAAGGAACUAGGCAAAAUAGCACCGUAACUUCGGGAGAAGGUGCGCCGGCGUAGAUUGUAGUCCUUUGCGGGCGAAGGUUGAACCGGUCGAAGAUACCAGCUGGCUGCAACUGUUUAUUAAAAACACAGCACUCUGCAAACACGAAAGUGGAGGUAUAGGGUGUGAUGCCUGCCCGGUGCUGGAAGGUUAAUUGAUGGUGUAAUCGCAAGAGAAGCACCUGAUCGAAGCCCCAGUAAACGGCGGCCGUAACUAUAACGGUCCUAAGGUAGCGAAAUUCCUUGUCGGGUAAGUUCCGACCUGCACGAAUGGCAUAAUGAUGGCCAGGCUGUCUCCACCCGAGACUCAGUGAAAUUGAAAUCGCCGUGAAGAUGCGGUGUACCCGCGGCUAGACGGAAAGACCCCGUGAACCUUUACUAUAGCUUGACACUGAACAUUGAAUUUUGAUGUGUAGGAUAGGUGGGAGACUUAGAAGUAGUCACGCCAGUGAUUAUGGAGUCAUCCUUGAAAUACCACCCUUUAACGUUUGAUGUUCUAACGAAGAUUGCGGAACGCGGUCUCGGACAGUGUCUGGUGGGUAGUUUGACUGGGGCGGUCUCCUCCCAAAGCGUAACGGAGGAGCACGAAGGUUUGCUAAUCACGGUCGGACAUCGUGAGGUUAGUGCAAUGGUAUAAGCAAGCUUAACUGCGAGACAGACAAGUCGAGCAGGUACGAAAGUAGGUCAUAGUGAUCCGGUGGUUCUGAAUGGAAGGGCCAUCGCUCAACGGAUAAAAGGUACUCCGGGGAUAACAGGCUGAUACCGCCCAAGAGUUCAUAUCGACGGCGGUGUUUGGCACCUCGAUGUCGGCUCAUCACAUCCUGGGGCUGAAGUAGGUCCCAAGGGUAUGGCUGUUCGCCAUUUAAAGUGGUACGCGAGCUGGGUUUAGAACGUCGUGAGACAGUUCGGUCCCUAUCUGCCGUGGGCGUAGGAGAAUUGGUUGGGGCUGCUCCUAGUACGAGAGGACCGGAGUGGACGCACCACUGGUGUUCCGGUUGUGUCGCCAGACGCAUUGCCGGGUAGCUAAGUGCGGAAGAGAUAAGUGCUGAAAGCAUCUAAGCACGAAACUUGCCAAGAGAUGAGUUCUCCCUGUCUUUAAGACAGUAAGGGUUGUUUAAGACGAAGACGUAGAUAGGUCUGGUGUGUAAGUGAUGUGAGUCAUUGAGCUAACAGAUACUAAUUGCCCGAGAGGCUUAACUAUACAACGCUCAAG
RNAcentral lists this ribosomal RNA (2918 nucleotides) under Haemophilus influenzae. Its description in RNAcentral is "bacterial LSU rRNA". It matches the Rfam family "Bacterial large subunit ribosomal RNA". Lineage: Bacteria; Pseudomonadati; Pseudomonadota; Gammaproteobacteria; Pasteurellales; Pasteurellaceae. The record is from RNAcentral.